CUCCCAGAACAAGAAAUAAAACACUGGAAGAAGGCAAUGGAGGAGGAAUACCAGCAGCUUAAACGCCUCCACAUAUUUAAAGAAGUGAAACUUCCUCCAAAUAAUAAACCAAUAGGAACUAAAUGAGUAUAUAGAUUAAAGCAGAAUCCAGANGGUUCAUUAAGAUAUAAAGCGAGACUGGUGGCACUUGGAUGUUCUCAGAAAUCCAANUUUGAACAAACAUUUGCCCCAACUGCUAGUGCAGCAUCUAUCAGAACUUUAUUGGCAAUAGNAGCUCAGAAUAAUCUGAAUGUUCACCAUUAUGAUUUUCAAACUGCUUAUUUGAAUGCUCCACUGCANGAAGAUAUUUACGUUAAGUUACCUGCUGGAUAUAAUGAAAACAAAGAUCCAGACACUGUUUGGAAGUUGGAGCGAUCUUUAUAUGGUUUACGCCAAUCUGGGCACAACUGGCACGUUUGCAUAACAGAUGCUUUGCAUACCUUGGGUUUUAGGCCAUCCGUUGCUGACCCUUGUUUAUUUACUAGGGGAAAAGGGCAUAAUUUAAUACUUUUGGCCUUGUACGUAGAUGACCUCAUUUCAGUGACAUCAUCUGAGGAAUUAAAUCAGAGAUUAUGUCAUGAACUUGGCAACAUAUUCAACAAUGAUCUUGGCAAUUUAAGCCGUUAUCUUGGCAUAAACAUAUCUUAUGAUCUAGAUACGGGUUAUUCACUAUCUCAGGAGGAUAAAAUACAAAAUUUAAUUGAUAGUGCAAAUAUGAAAGAUGCCAAGAUAGUGCAUAUGCCCAUGAUNUCUAAUUUUGGAAAAUUAGAAACCCAGACUGAACCAUUUGAAAACCCAGAUUUAUUUAGAUCUCUGAUGGGUAGUCUUAUGCAUAUAGCUUUGUGGACANGACCUGACAUAGCGUUUGCAGUUAACCUAUUAAGUAGGCAUGUUCACGAACCAACUACGAAGGAUUGGCGUGCAUUAAAAAGAAUAUUAAGAUACUUGAAGGGCACAAAGGAUUACAUAUAGUACAUAAAUCCCAGAAAAAAUCAGGACAUACAUGUGUGGGUUGAUAGUUCAUUUGCUGAGGAGAUUAUUGAUAGGAAGUCAACCUCAGGUUACUUGACUAAUUAUGCUGAUGCUCCAAUUACUUGGCCUUCAAGGAAACAACCUACUGUCAGCCUUUCAACCUCCAAGGCUGAGUACGGAGCUUUAUCUGAUUGUUGCAAGGAAUUGAUUUGGAUUAANCAAUUAUUGACUGACUUGAAACAUCCUUGUAAAUUACCUAUUCAGAUAUAUGAGGAUUCUCAAACGUGUAUUGUAC
This 1306-nucleotide long non-coding RNA is filed under the name Salvator merianae (Argentine black and white tegu). Its description in RNAcentral is "lncRNA (ENSSMRG00000002134.1)". Lineage: Eukaryota; Metazoa; Chordata; Lepidosauria; Squamata; Teiidae. The record is from RNAcentral.